RNAcentral lists this ribosomal RNA (942 nucleotides) under uncultured bacterium. RNAcentral describes it as "bacterial SSU rRNA". It matches the Rfam family "Bacterial small subunit ribosomal RNA", at positions 52 to 986 of the family's 1533-position model. The record is from RNAcentral.
CACAUGCAAGUCGAGGGGCAGCAUGGUCUUAGCUUGCUAAGGCCGAUGGCGACCGGCGCACGGGUGAGUAACACGUAUCCAACCUGCCGUCUACUCUUGGACAGCCUUCUGAAAGGAAGAUUAAUACAAGAUGGCAUCAUGAGUCCGCAUGUUCACAUGAUUAAGGGUAUUCCGGUAGACGAUGGGGAUGCGUUCCAUUAGAUAGUAGGCGGGGUAACGGCCCACCUAGUCUUCGAUGGAUAGGGGUUCUGAGAGGAAGGUCCCCCACAUUGGAACUGAGACACGGUCCAAACUCCUACGGGAGGCAGCAGUGAGGAAUAUUGGUCAAUGGGCGAGAGCCUGAACCAGCCAAGUAGCGUGAAGGAUGACUGCCCUAUGGGUUGUAAACUUCUUUUAUAAAGGAAUAAAGUCGGGUAUGGAUACCCGUUUGCAUGUACUUUAUGAAUAAGGAUCGGCUAACUCCGUGCCAGCAGCCGCGGUAAUACGGAGGAUCCGAGCGUUAUCCGGAUUUAUUGGGUUUAAAGGGAGCGUAGAUGGAUGUUUAAGUCAGUUGUGAAAGUUUGCGGCUCAACCGUAAAAUUGCAGUUGAUACUGGAUAUCUUGAGUGCAGUUGAGGCAGGCGGAAUUCGUGGUGUAGCGGUGAAAUGCUUAGAUAUCACGAAGAACUCCGAUUGCGAAGGCAGCCUGCUAAGCUGCAACUGACAUUGAGGCUCGAAAGUGUGGGUAUCAAACAGGAUUAGAUACCCUGGUAGUCCACACGGUAAACGAUGAAUACUCGCUGUUUGCGAUAUACUGCAAGCGGCCAAGCGAAAGCGUUAAGUAUUCCACCUGGGGAGUACGCCGGCAACGGUGAAACUCAGAGGAAUUGACGGGGGCCCGCACAAGCGGAGGAACAUGUGGUUUAAUUCGAUGAUACGCGAGGAACCUUACCCGGGCUUAAAU